CAAAAGAACAGGAAUGGAGGAAAAAUGUAUGUCCAGGACAAGAUCGAGGAGUACAGCGAUGAGAUCUUUAAACUCUUGGAUGGCGGGGCUCACAUAUACUUCUGCGGAUUGAAAGGGAUGAUGCCAGGAAUUCAGGACACACUGAAAAAGGUUGCAGAGCAAAGGGGUGAGAAAUGGGAAGAGAAACUUUCACAGCUUAAAAAGAACAAACAGUGGCAUGUUGAAGUUUACUGAAGUGUAGUUGCAUAGAAACGUGUGCAUUGAUGUCUGUUUAGAAGAUGUAGCAGCACAUGAUCUCUUGUUCUGUGUUACUCCUUGCAUUGCUCAUCUUUCAGUUUCAUAGCUUAAGAUUACGAAUAAGGUGGCCUCCGU
This 372-nucleotide long non-coding RNA is filed under the name Cucumis sativus (cucumber). RNAcentral describes it as "long non-coding RNA (CSAT_LNC002564)". Lineage: Eukaryota; Viridiplantae; Streptophyta; Magnoliopsida; Cucurbitales; Cucurbitaceae. The record is from RNAcentral.